CAUCAGAUGACUGAAAGCAAGUACUGG
RNAcentral lists this transfer RNA (27 nucleotides) under Heterotermes gertrudae. RNAcentral's name for it is "partial tRNA-Lys". The record is from RNAcentral. Lineage: Eukaryota; Metazoa; Arthropoda; Insecta; Blattodea; Rhinotermitidae.